RNAcentral lists this small nucleolar RNA (139 nucleotides) under Catharus ustulatus (Swainson's thrush). RNAcentral's name for it is "Small nucleolar RNA SNORA8 (ENSCUSG00005002046.1)". It matches the Rfam family "Small nucleolar RNA SNORA8". From Rfam's summary of the family: ACA8 is a member of the H/ACA class of snoRNA that guide the sites of modification of uridines to pseudouridines. The record is from Rfam by way of RNAcentral. Lineage: Eukaryota; Metazoa; Chordata; Aves; Passeriformes; Turdidae.
UGCAUUGUUGCAGUACUUGCACCCAGCAGCCUUAUCCUGUGGGAUGUUCAAAAAGCAGUGCUACACCAGUGCAGCAUUUGGCAUCCUUAGUUUUCAUUCUGCUGUGUCUGUUAAACCUGGUAUUUUUGCUGAAACAGUC